GACGAAGAACGUAGCGAAAUGCGAUAAGUAAUGUGAAUUGCAGAAUUCAGUGAAUCAUCGAAUCUUUGAACGCACAUUGCGCCCGCCAGUAUUCUGGCGGGCAUGCCUGUUCGAGCGUCAUUUCAACCAUCAAGCCCCCGGCUUGUGUUGGGGACCUGCGGCUGCCGCAGGCCCUGAAAAGCAGUGGCGGGCUCGCUGUCACACCGAGCGUAGUAGCAUACAUCUCGCUCUGGGCGUGCUGCGGGUUCCGGCCGUUAAUCCACCUUCAUAACCCAAGGUUGACCUCGGAUCAGGUAGGAAGACCCGCUGAACUUAAGCAUAUCAAUAAGCGGAGGA
RNAcentral lists this unclassified non-coding RNA (336 nucleotides) under soil metagenome. RNAcentral's name for it is "partial contains 5.8S ribosomal RNA, internal transcribed spacer 2, and large subunit ribosomal RNA". The stretch from base 1 to 120 matches the Rfam family "5.8S ribosomal RNA", at positions 35 to 154 of the family's 154-position model. The record is from RNAcentral.